RNAcentral lists this ribosomal RNA (449 nucleotides) under uncultured bacterium. RNAcentral's name for it is "partial 16S ribosomal RNA". It matches the Rfam family "Bacterial small subunit ribosomal RNA", at positions 29 to 523 of the family's 1533-position model. The record is from RNAcentral.
AACGAACGCUGGCGGCAUGCCUAACACAUGCAAGUCGAACGAAGCCUUCGGGCUUAGUGGCGCACGGGUGCGUAACGCGUGGGAAUCUGCCCUUUGGUUCGGAAUAACAGUUGGAAACGACUGCUAAUACCGGAUGAUGACGAAAUUCCAAAGAUUUAUUGCCAGAGGAUGAGCCCGCGUAGGAUUAGCUAGUUGGUGUGGUAAAGGCGCACCAAGGCGGCGAUCCUUAGCUGGUCUGGGAGGAUGAACAGCCACACUGGGACUGAGACACGGCCCAGACUCCUGCGGGAGGCAGCAGUGGGGAAUAUUGGACAAUGGGCGAAAGCCUGAUCCAGCAAUGCCGCGUGAGUGAUGAAGGCCCUAGGGUCGUAAAGCUCUUUUACCCGGGAUGAUAAUGACCGUACCGGGAGAAUAAGCCCCGGCUAACUCCGUGCCAGCCGCCGCGGUAA